This 71-nucleotide transfer RNA is filed under the name Caudoviricetes sp. RNAcentral describes it as "tRNA-Trp". It matches the Rfam family "tRNA". From Rfam's summary of the family: Transfer RNA (tRNA) molecules are approximately 80 nucleotides in length. Lineage: Duplodnaviria; Heunggongvirae; Uroviricota; Caudoviricetes. The record is from RNAcentral.
AGGAGUAUGAUGUAACGGUAGCAUUACGGUCUCCAAAACCGUCCGUUAGGGUUCGAAUCCUUAUGCUCCUG